GCUGGGCGUGGUGGCCCAUGCCUGUAAUCCCAGCACUUUGGGAGGCUGAGGUAGGUGGAUCACCUGAGGUCAGGAGUUCAAGACCAGCCUGUCCAACAUGGUGAAACCCCAUCUCUA
Unclassified non-coding RNA from Macaca fascicularis (crab-eating macaque), 117 nucleotides. It matches the Rfam family "Metazoan signal recognition particle RNA". From Rfam's summary of the family: The signal recognition particle (SRP) is a universally conserved ribonucleoprotein. It is involved in the co-translational targeting of proteins to membranes. The record is from Ensembl. Lineage: Eukaryota; Metazoa; Chordata; Mammalia; Primates; Cercopithecidae.